CAUAAACCUAGCAUGUUAGCACAUGUUUGUCAUCUCAGUGCUCAGGACGUGGAGACAAGAGAAUCAUAAGUUCAAGGAGGUCAUGGGAACUUUAGGAGACCAGGCUUACCGGAAGAAGACGAUGGCUGGAAUGGGUCUUUGACAGUUGUGCCCGGUCCCUGCUUCCCUCCUCCAUUUCUGCUUUCUUGCUGCUGGGAGAUGAGCAUCUUUGUCCCAAAUGUCUGCUGCCAUGUCAUUCUUCCUUGCCUCCGGCCCAGAGCAAUGGAUCCAGCCUUAGACUGAAGCUCAGAAAUGAUGAGCCAUUCAGUGUGGUCCGUAAGAAACUCACUUUAAGUAAAAAGAUAUAUUUUUGUCAGGGAUGUGGAGUUGGGAUACAGAGACCUGAUCCAGCUGUUGCUGUGACCUGAGCAUAGGACACGGAGGCACUGUCAAGCAUCACUAUGGAAGAACAGGCUGCAGAGCUGUCUGGAUAUGGAAUGUUUGCACCCGCCCUGUGUUUGAACACUUGGUCCCUAGCUAAAUGUGCUGCAUGGAUAUAAGACGCCAUGCCACAAGCUCCUGACUCUACAGACUGAGCAGCACGGCUGCCAUGUCAUCCUCACGAUGAUUGACUGCAUCCCUUGAAACCAUUAGCCCAAAUAAAAUCCUUCUUGCCUGAA
RNAcentral lists this long non-coding RNA (659 nucleotides) under Cricetulus griseus (Chinese hamster). RNAcentral describes it as "lncRNA (ENSCGRG00015039077.1)". The record is from RNAcentral. Lineage: Eukaryota; Metazoa; Chordata; Mammalia; Rodentia; Cricetidae.